GGGGCUAUGGCGCAAUUGGUAGCGCACCUGCUUUGCAAGCAGGGGGUUACGGGUUCGAGUCCCGUUAGCUCCAC
This 74-nucleotide transfer RNA is filed under the name Chlamydia trachomatis. Its description in RNAcentral is "tRNA-Ala(tgc)". It matches the Rfam family "tRNA". Rfam says of the family: Transfer RNA (tRNA) molecules are approximately 80 nucleotides in length. The record is from RNAcentral. Lineage: Bacteria; Pseudomonadati; Chlamydiota; Chlamydiia; Chlamydiales; Chlamydiaceae. RNAcentral also lists the same sequence under 5 other names.